GCAUUUAUAUUGCAAAAUUAGGCAUUUCUUAAUGGGCGUAGACACCGCUUAUGCGAUUAUAACAGCACCACAUAUUGAAGAUCUUCCCCAUUCCUUUGGGUUCACCGGUGGGUAACACUAUUUUUGAUACGGACAAUAUGAUUUAGCCAACGUAGUCGCUUUAGCUUGAUAUCCCUCCUCUAUUUCCACCGGACCCUAAAUCUCUCACAAAAUUUUUCGUUCGAAAACUCCAAUCGUCCACUCAUAAGAUGUUAUCAUCGUGCAGGCCUCUUUAGUACAUAGCACAAUUCGAUCGAUGAGGAACUUGUGGACUGGCAUAUUUGUUCAUGUAAAAUCUCUUUACUUUUCAAUUGCCUACGCAGUCUAGAUAGACGAAAUCGUCUACAACUUCAAAGUUGCGACAGACAACAGUGUCGUGGGAACCAAGACGAGAGUGCGCUGACUGUCGAAAAAAUAUUUCGCCUGGUGUUCGUUCACUACCAUACCAACUUUUUUCGUUUAUUUGACUAAUCUGGAGUGAACAGAUUCAUUCUUACAAAAUAUUGUACCUUAUCCUGUCUCCAUUAUUAAGGUAAGGUUUUAGUAUCCAACGGCUUGGAAAGAUCCUUCCCUAUGCAGAUGGAUAUUUUGGAGUUACACAGUGCCAGUGAAUACAGCCAAGUUGCUUCGAAAUCAACGCAAAAAUGGAUACGGUCUGUUCUAAGAACUACAGCAUGGCGAAUAAAUGGUGUAUGGUGAAUCAGGUGUCACACUUAUCACAUUCAACCAAGUCACUGACGUUUCCGCAGAUUAUGAGAUCCUUCUUUCGUCACAUUCGGCGCAUGUGUUGCAAUCAAAGAUCAAAGAUUAGCCAAACAUGCUGGUACAUGGUACAGCUCAGCUGGUGGACCAUUAGAUCUCAUAUUAUAGUUAGGGAAAUACUGUUUCUACGCCGCCAUCUUCAACUCGAGAUAACAAUGUAGCUUAAUUAACUUUCUAAUGCUAGUUUCCAUGUUUCGGGUCCCAGCUUCAGACCAUAUGUAGAAGUCGAAAUCAAAAACGAUUUUGACAUCGUAUGCCGCUAGGGCAUCGGUUAAAUUCUGCAAUAACGUUAAAUAAUCUCACCAAACUUUCCAGCUGUUUGUUCGCAAAGGGAACUCCUUAGUGGCUUGACUCGGUGAAUAAAGAUAAAUAUACAACAGUAUUACCGGUUUUCUUAGCAGAAUAACGUAAAUCUACUCAUUGUAAUUAAAUUUAAGAAUAAUACGCUUGCAGUUAUAACUUCGCCUGUAGUUUAUUUUACCACCAGAUAUAUUUCAUUGUCCAACACAGUGACAGCCUACAUAGCCAACCCUCAGUGACGUCACUGCCAUGUUGACAUAAACACCAACGCAUACACUAUUUUUUA
Molecule: long non-coding RNA, 1387 nt
Organism: Ceratitis capitata (Mediterranean fruit fly)
Lineage: Eukaryota; Metazoa; Arthropoda; Insecta; Diptera; Tephritidae
Exons: 3
Source: RefSeq, a predicted model, not a curated record